UCGGGAAUUUUGGGCAAUGGGCGAAAGCCUGACCCAGCAACGCCGCGUGAAGGAUGAAGUAUUUCGGUAUGUAAACUUCGAAAGAAUAGGAAGAAUAAAUGACGGUACUAUUUAUAAGGUCCGGCUAACUACGUGCCAGCAGCCGCGGUAAUACGUAGGGACCAAGCGUUGUUCGGAUUUACUGGGCGUAAAGGGCGCGUAGGCGGCAAUUCAAGUCAUCUGUGAAAUCUCCGGGCUUAACUCGGAACGGUCAGAUGAUACUGCUUUGCUAGAGUGCAGAAGGGGCAAUCGGAAUUCUUGGUGUAGCGGUGAAAUGCGUAGAUAUGCGGAGGAACACCGAUGGCGAAGGCAGCCUCCUGGGAUAACACUGACGCUCAUGCACGAAAGCGUGGGG
This 394-nucleotide ribosomal RNA is filed under the name uncultured bacterium. Its description in RNAcentral is "bacterial SSU rRNA". It matches the Rfam family "Bacterial small subunit ribosomal RNA", at positions 355 to 766 of the family's 1533-position model. The record is from RNAcentral.